This 535-nucleotide long non-coding RNA is filed under the name Fukomys damarensis (Damara mole-rat). Its description in RNAcentral is "lncRNA (ENSFDAG00000025454.1)". Lineage: Eukaryota; Metazoa; Chordata; Mammalia; Rodentia; Bathyergidae. The record is from RNAcentral.
AAUCUAUUGGAAAAGGAUGCAUUAAAAAGCUGUCAUUUGAACUGAGUUAUAAAGAAUUAGAUAAUUAUAUGCAAUGAGAAGAAAAGCAUAUAAGUGAUGAGAAGAGAAUAAGACUACAUAUGGAAAAAAUGUAUAAUUAAAUACAAAUUAACAUCAUGUAGAUUGGCAGCAAGACAGAAAAAUCAGUGCCAAUCAAUAGGGACCCUAUGUGCCAUCCUGAAGAGCUUGAUUUGAGGAACGAUGGACCCUCAAGUUACAACCGGACUGACAUGUGAACAACUUGGGCUAAUUAGGUUAAUGGAAGAUUCAUCUGCCUCUUGUUAUCCAUAGUGUGUACCCAGAGCGUAACAGCCGGAGUACAUCCAGACCGCUCACAUCCCAGUCUUGUCACUGCGCGUUCCUGCAACAAUUACCAGGAGAGGGAGGCUGCCGAGUGAAUCAAGUAGCGCGUGUUGUCUCCCCGGACUCCAUGCUGAUGCUCUGAUCAGGACUUCAGCAAAAUUCUGUUUGAAAUGAGAAUAGACUAAUUUUCAUC